Molecule: ribosomal RNA, 253 nt
Filed under: uncultured bacterium
Lineage: Bacteria
Description: partial 16S ribosomal RNA
Rfam family: Bacterial small subunit ribosomal RNA
Source: RNAcentral
UACAGAGGUCCCAAGCGUUGUUCGGAUUUACUGGGCGUAAAGGGUGCGUAGGUGGUAAGGCAAGUCGGAUGUGAAAUCUUCAAGCUUAACUUGGAAAUGGCGUCGGAAACUGUCUUGCUAGAGGAUUGGAAGGGAGACUGGAAUACUUGGUGUAGCAGUGAAAUGCGUAGAUAUCAAGUGGAACACCAGUGGCGAAGGCGAGUCUCUGGACAAUUCCUGACACUGAGGCACGAAAGCUAGGGGAGCAAACAGG